GAUGAACGCUGGCGGCGUGCCUAAUACAUGCAAGUCGAGCGAACAGACGAGGAGCUUGCUCCUCUGACGUUAGCGGCGGACGGGUGAGUAACACGUGGAUAACCUACCUAUAAGACUGGGAUAACUUCGGGAAACCGGAGCUAAUACCGGAUAAUAUAUUGAACCGCAUGGUUCAAUAGUGAAAGACGGUUUUGCUGUCACUUAUAGAUGGAUCCGCGCCGCAUUAGCUAGUUGGUAAGGUAACGGCUUACCAAGGCAACGAUGCGUAGCCGACCUGAGAGGGUGAUCGGCCACACUGGAACUGAGACACGGUCCAGACUCCUACGGGAGGCAGCAGUAGGGAAUCUUCCGCAAUGGGCGAAAGCUUGACGGAGCAACGCCGCGUGAGUGAUGAAGGUCUUCGGAUCGUAAAACUCUGUUAUUAGGGAAGAACAAAUGUGUAAGUAACGAUGCACGUCUGGACGGUACCGAUCAGAAAGCCACGGCUAACUACGUG
This 496-nucleotide ribosomal RNA is filed under the name uncultured bacterium. Its description in RNAcentral is "partial 16S ribosomal RNA". It matches the Rfam family "Bacterial small subunit ribosomal RNA", at positions 28 to 507 of the family's 1533-position model. The record is from RNAcentral.